This 365-nucleotide long non-coding RNA is filed under the name Helianthus annuus (common sunflower). Its description in RNAcentral is "sRNA HanXRQr2_Chr03g0096331". The record is from RNAcentral. Lineage: Eukaryota; Viridiplantae; Streptophyta; Magnoliopsida; Asterales; Asteraceae.
UUGUUGUUGUGAGGAAAUAUGAAACAUUCGAAGGUCAAAAUAGACAUGAUUUUGACUUUCUGAAGUCAAAAUUGAAGUUUGUCAAAAGCAAAAGAAUCAACAAAGAAGAAGAUAGUCAAAGCUCACCGUCUAAGUGAAAGAAAGCAAUAGCUACAGAGAAAGCUAAAGGUAAACAUAAAGCAGUUGAAGUUGAAGAAAUUAUAUCUGCAACAUCUGAGAGGGAGAAAUCAGAAGAUGAUGAAAUAGAGAGUGAUGAAGAAAUUCCAAAGUACACUAGAACUUACGGCAGAACUCAAGAUGGAAAGGUAACUGUUGAAAGUGAAAAAUCAAAGCCAACGCUAGAGACAUAUCUCUAAGAGAUAUAU